Molecule: long non-coding RNA, 5425 nt
Organism: Cavia porcellus (domestic guinea pig)
Lineage: Eukaryota; Metazoa; Chordata; Mammalia; Rodentia; Caviidae
Exons: 2
Source: RefSeq, a predicted model, not a curated record
GGCUUGGAGGGUGCCACUGACAUAAACCAGGACAGCGUCUUGGCUUCCCACCAUUUCUUUACACAGCCUGGCCCCUGACAGGAAGUGAGUAGCAGAGCCAGGAUUUCUAAGAGGCAGGAUAGGAUCUGAAUAGACUUGAACAAGGAAGAAAUGAGAGGGAAAAAAAAGAGCAAGAGAGUUAUGGAACUUUAGAAUCUGCGAUGUUCAAAUUCACCUGUAAAGAGAUUUACAGUCCAGGCCCUGUGAAGACAGAGGCCGCCUAGAGGAAAGAGCCGAAAAGCCUGGGGCCACCUGCAGGGAGAGAAAUGCAGAAAAGCCCAGAGGAGCAAAACCGCUUCUCAUGGCUCCUACCUGGUCCGCUGUCCUGGGGCUCCACACAGCACCCCAUCUGCACCGACUGCUCCCCUGCCUGGCUCGGAGAGAGUUCCCAUAGCACCUCAGCCUCGGCCGUCUGGAACUGAGUGCUUCCUCUAAGGCCCGACCUGUGGGCAUCCAUGAAUCACGGCUGAGUUCUUCACAGCUCAACAGCAGCCAUGCCCACUCCCCAACAGCUGGAAAGCCAGCAACAGACCCUCCCAGCGCUCUGCAGGCCACAAGCACACGUCCUGGGAGAAGAAGGCUCUAAGGGCAAAUCGGGUGGGGCGACCGCACGCUCGGGCAGGCUGGCUUCCUCCAGGACUCCUCAGAGGCUCGACCCUGUCAACGUGGCGGGAAUUUACAAGAGGAAGGAGCUGGGUGUGGAGGUGUCCCACACUAACUGGAUCCAGCAGCAGAGGGAAAAGGGCACCACGAGGCCUCUGUGGGGUGGAAGAGGGGGACAGCUGGAGGAACCAGAAGGUGAAACCCGAAGAUAGCCUCAGUCAGGCCGUGAAAUCUCCAGGGGAAGGCAUCGCCCCUGUGAGCCCCAGCUUCCUCAGCUGUACAGUGGAAUGGCUCAUCCCCACCGGGACACUUUAGGGAUGAAACAGGUCAUUGGAUGGGAAGCUUCCAGGUAGUGUCCCCAAGCUGAGGAGCAGCGUGGUCAGAGAGACCUCACCUGAAGGUGUCCCACGGGGUAACUGCAGGGUCAAAGGCACCAAGUGAGACCACAGAAAGGCCGUGAGUGACUGGCCGGAGGCCCCACAGCUAGCAAGGGAGAAGCCAGCGCCAAAGCCAGGCCCGGCUGGCCCCAGGCCGGUGCUCCUUCCGUGCUCAAACGGUCUCACUACAGUAAGGGUCACCCGACCUAUCGACCUGUCCCCUGGAGGCUGAAGCCUGUGGCCUGAGGACGGCCAGUCACAGCCAGCCCAUCUGAGUCCUCACCAUGCCUCAGACCUGGUGCUCAGCACCGAGUCUCAGCAAUGCCACCACCCUGCAGAAAGGCACGACUGCUAAUUCUACCCAUUACAACCCCGAGGACCAAGCAACCCAGUAGGGUGUAAAGCAUAUGGUACAGGCUUUAAAGACAGGGCCUCCUGCUCCCACACUGGGCUUCUUCCUUCCUAUGUCCCUGACCUUACGUAAUGCACUUCACUUCUCUGGAACUCUAUUUACCCAUUCACAGAAUGGGUACAGCCUACUGCACAGGGUUGAGGAUAAAUCUCAGUCUCUGCUAAAUCACAUCUAGCAGAGACUGACUUCUCAAUGACUAUAAGCAGAUAACAAUUCCACAGUCGUCGUCAUUGUCAUUACUAGCAUUGUUACGCUUUGUCUCAGACCAGUGGACCCUUCGCUAUCUCUCCUCCAGUAGGAAGUUGGUGGAGUCUCUGGUGAUCAGGGCGAGUAGGAAAUCCUAGAAAGCCCUAGUGCACCCCAUCACAAGCUGUGCACCCCAAGCCCUAGUUUCUUCACCUGUAAAAUGGGAUAAUAGCACCUGUUUCAGGGAAUGCUGAAACCAGUAGGACAGGGGAGAAGGAAAGAGGGAAGGAGGGAAAGAAGGGGAGGGAGAAAAAGAGGAGAGGGAGGGAGGUGGAAGAGCAGAAACUAAGGGAGAAGGGACAAAGGAUGUGGGGGGAACCAAGUGAGAUGCAGAGUCCUGGAGCAGGAGUCAGGAGAGCUCUCCUCCCCCAUGGCCUUGCUGUGUGACCUCGGGCUCGUCUCUUUCCCUCUCUGGGCACUGGACCGGCCCUGUACAUUGACUAGCUCAGACUUGCCCAGUCCAAGCCCUUUCAAGCACUCAUCGUCCAGCCCUUUAGGAGGCUCUUGGGAGAGGCGGAGACUCUGCCUUGAACAGAUACAUGGCAGAGUUACUACCAACAAGCCUGGGCUAGCCUGCACUUGGGCCCAGAGCCUGCACCCCAGGCCCCCUGCACAGGGAAGCCAUCCAGCCUGGACCCCGCCGUCCUGCACCUCCUGACUUGAGAGCUCUGGCUGCGCUUUAGUUCAGAGCCUGAAGAGUGAGCACAGCUGGGCCCACUGUCGGCCCGGGCCCCAGGGCAUCAGCUGCCUUGGGGAAGGUAAGGCCUGGACUCCGCACUCCUCCUGACUCAGGGUGAAGCUGGCUCACACUGGUCCAGGGCCUCUGGGAAGGGGACGGGGAGGAAGGGAGCCCCUCGGGAUGGUGACAGAGUGCUGAGCAUGGGGGCUGGCCCGGUGUCUCUGAGGGAAACAGAAGCCUGCCCCUGGCCUCAGUGACAGCACAGACCAGGCAGGAGAUCUAGCUCUAUGCCACUUCAACUUGUAUGAUAUGAGUUUGUGACUUCACCUCUCUACAGACAUGACAGCACAGCACUUACCACAGGCGUGUGAGGGCUUGAUGUGCUGGCCCACCCUCAGGAGCACUCAGGGAACUGGGCGGUGUGCACAGGAGUGCUGAACACCAGAUGCAGGCUUUAUCUAGUGGUCCUUCUGCAGGGACCCACACUCCCAAAUGCUCGCCUGUGUACACAGCCGUCUGUGCACAAAGACAGGCUGGGUCCUGCUAUUUAUGAUCCCCAAACAGCAGGAAACCAUAUGAAUGCUCACAGGAAAACUGUUAGAUAAACUGAGGCCCAUCCAGUCCAGGAAAUUUCUUUGGCCAGCAAAUAGGGACUUCACCAUAAACCACGAGGAUGAGAAGGAACUGUGUUAACAGCAGCAACCAACACACUGACCCUGCAUCAGCUGUGUGUGGCAGGCAGCUAAGUGCAGCUCUGAAGGCCGGCUUGUAGCUCAGGUGACAGUAACACACUGUGUCAGCAAUCUGGCUGUGAAUGUGUUGUAACCCUGAAUGAUGCCAACACCAGGGGACACCAUGGAGGGUCCAUGGGACUCUCAGUAUGGCAUUUAUAACUUCCCAUGAGUUGAGUUACUUUAAAUCAAAAACUCAAGGAGAAAAUGUCUGGGGGUUAACUCAGACAAUUAAGGUCAAUAAGAAGCAGCUGGCAAAUCCUUUGGAAGACAAACAAUUAAGCACCCUACUGCUUUUGGAGAAAAACACCAGGCAGCGUGACCAUGCAAUUACCACGCAUCUUGGGGGCUGUUUUGGUUGAGCUCUAUUGUCAUUCUGAGAAGCAAUGUGGGGUGGUGGAAAGCCUGAUUUCUGGGGAGGAGCACAUGUCUUCUAGAGUUGCAGGACCACAGGGAUGGGGAGGAAUAAAGACCAGCCCAAGAAGCCUUCCCUCCUAAAUUGUGCAGGGCAACUCCUCCAAAUGCUGGAUUUCCCACCCAUAAAAACAAGAAUAACAAGAACAGUAGAGCUUUCAAUAUUCAGACCAAAUAAGGGAAGUCUUACAAGAAUGCUGGGAGGCAGACAAUAUUAUGAGCCCAUUUUACAGAUGAGAAAACUGAGUCAGGGGGCAGGUGAACUAAGAAUACUGGUCACCUGUAGCUUUGAUUCUGAGCUCUCCUCCAUGCUGCAUAGCAGGACAACCUUCCAUACCGAGGGCUGCAUGGGAGCCGAAGGAUUGGAUGGAGACUGGGUGUAGCUGGAAGGGUGUAGCUAGGAGGGAGCAGCAAUGUGAGCACCCCAAAUGCUCCUGGGCCUAGGCCAGGCAGGCAGCCUUGUGGAGGAGACACAGAGAAAAUCUGGAGGCAGACAGGCCCUUUGUUCAGCCUUCACUCCAUCACUCUGAUUUUGACCAGGAAGCCUAAGCUCUCCUGAGCCUCGGUGUCCUGUCCCACAAAAUGGUGCCUCUGGUCCAUGUACCUGGUUGCAGUGCAUUGGCCACAAAGCUGUCAGUGACUUUAUUCCACGAAUUCUUCGCCCAAGUCACAACCACUUGCAAGCUGGGCUUCCCAACGUAUCCAUGAAAUUAAGUGUACAUUGAGGACUUAAGAGACAGGAGUGCAAUAAAAAAUGACGUCAGGUAAGAAUGAUGAUCCACACAAAAGAAUGAAAAACACUAGCCGCCAAAAUUCAAAAACAUUUAUUUCAUAUGAGUACACUAGGUACACCCAUUACAGCACACGGCAUACUGAAUUACGAAGAUCCAGAUUAGACACAAGCACGUCCAUUUGUCACCAAGUGCACACGGUGUGUGUGUGCUGUGUCUGUACUCUUCUUGUCUGGCCAUUUGGCAAUAAACCUUGAGUUCACCUCUUUACAUAGGCAUAUACCUGUUCUUCAAAAGCACCGCUUAGGUAUUUACAAAUAUAGGUUGUAUUAUUUGAAGUAUUGUCAAUAAUUUAUAUUAAUUAUAUACUGAUACUAUAAUUCAAUACAUCCAUCACAUGUUGCAGCAGAUGGACUAGAUGCACCCAUCAGGCUGAACAUCUUGACUGGGGCUUACUUUGGGGUAGGGUUUAUAUUACAAGCAUCCUGAAAAAUCGUGCCAAGGCUUAUUUUGUAGUUAUGUCUUAUUUUCAGGGAAAUAUGGUAUCACUGGAAUAGCCAGAGAUUUUUAUUUCUCUGGGUCCAACGGUCCCAGGUCAGCUUUAAAGCAGUUACAGAAGAUGCAGCUUCACCUGUCAGCUCCCCUAAGAUUAAGGAAGAUGAAAUCUCUGAGGGUGAAAUGAGAAAGAUUAGAAACCCUCGGUUCCCACUUUUCCCUUGCACAGGUGGAGAGGGUAUGAGGCUUUGCCAGUGGCAGAUGAAGACUCGCUUUGGUGUUCCUGGAGACCCGCUUGUGAUUUACUUCUUGAGUAGUGUAGGCAGCAAAAGUCCCAUAAAUCUAUUUGGGAUUUUUCAUCCUGAGAGGACAGAGCAGUCAUUUCAAAAGAAAGAGCAACAAACACUCAGAACUUUCAGCACUAAAGAGCUCCGGAGACCAGAAGUGGAGACUGUUCACCGGACUUGACCUUGGUGUCAGGCACAUCGAGCAUCAGACAGUGUGGCUGGUACUGGCAGUGACCAGCAGCUCAGUGUCAGCUGUCGGCAGCCAGCAGUACUCGGUGUCAUCUGGUGCCGUCAGGACUGCCAGCAGAGCUGCACCUUACAAUUUAUGAUGUCAUUUCCAACUGAAACCUAGGCAGAUUUGCAACACUACUAUUGAUAGUAUUUUAGUUUUAUUGCAUGAAAUACAGGAAA